CCUACGGGAGGCUGCAGUGGGGAAUAUUGGACAAUGGGGGCAACCCUGAUCCAGCCAUGCCGCGUGUGUGAAGAAGGCCCUCGGGUUGUAAAGCACUUUCAGUGAGGAAGAACGCCUGGUGGUUAAUACCCAUCAGGAAAGACAUCACUCACAGAAGAAGCACCGGCUAACUCCGUGCCAGCAGCCGCGGUAAUACGGCGGGUGCGAGCGUUAAUCGGAAUUACUGGGCGUAAAGCGCGCGUAGGUGGCUUGAUAAGCCGGUUGUGAAAGCCCCGGGCUCAACCUGGGAACGGCAUCCGGAACUGUCAAGCUAGAGUGCAGGAGAGGAAGGUAGAAUUCCCGGUGUAGCGGUGAAAUGCGUAGAGAUCGGGAGGAAUACCAGUGGCGAAGGCGGCCUUCUGGACUGACACUGACACUGAGGUGCGAAAGCGUGGGUAGCAAACAGGAUUAGAUACCCUAGUAGUC
This 465-nucleotide ribosomal RNA is filed under the name Vreelandella stevensii. RNAcentral's name for it is "partial 16S ribosomal RNA". It matches the Rfam family "Bacterial small subunit ribosomal RNA", at positions 338 to 795 of the family's 1533-position model. The record is from RNAcentral. Lineage: Bacteria; Pseudomonadati; Pseudomonadota; Gammaproteobacteria; Oceanospirillales; Halomonadaceae.